AGGAAUAUUGCUCAAUGGGCGAAAUCCUGAAGCAGCAACGCCGCGUGGAGGAUGAAGGGUCUAUGACUUGUAAACUCCUGUAAAGAAGGAAAAAAUUCCCAUUAGAUGGGAGAUGAUGGUACUUCUGGAGUAAGCCCCGGCUAACUACGUGCCAGCAGCCGCGGUAAUACGUAGGGGGCAAGCGUUGUCCGGAUUUACUGGGUGUAAAGGGUGCUCAGGCGGAUUUGUAAGUCAGAGGUGAAAUCUUACAGCUUAACUGUGAAACUGCCUUUGAUACUGCAAGCCUAGAGUAUGGAAGAGAGUGAUGGAAUAUCUGGUGUAGCAGUGAAAUGCGUAGAUAUCAGAUAGAACACCAAUGGCGAAGGCAGUCACUUGAGCCAUUACUGACGCUAAAGCACGAAAGCGUGGGUAGCAAACA
This 418-nucleotide ribosomal RNA is filed under the name uncultured bacterium. RNAcentral's name for it is "bacterial SSU rRNA". It matches the Rfam family "Bacterial small subunit ribosomal RNA", at positions 357 to 774 of the family's 1533-position model. The record is from RNAcentral.